ACCAAGUUCAUCUCCCAAGACAGUGCUCUGCCACUGAUUGGAAAAUGCCACAGUUGGGCCUUACUUACCCUAAUGAGAAUUACACCUUUUGAGAGUUAUAAACCUCUUUAUUUACAGAUAUCUGUGUGUUUUCUCAAACAGAAGCCCGCAAAUGCUGAAUCUCACUGCACUGUAAGAUGACAAAACACUAUGUCAGGCACUGCUGCUUACUCUGUACUAACAAAAAUUGGCUAAAAACCCUGUGUUCCUCAUACAUUGAGGGGAUGGAAAGUUAAACAGUGUUUAGGGAGAUCUUGGAAAUUCCUGUUCUGGAACUUACUGUUGGAGCAGGGGAUAGAAUUAUCCACUUGUUGUUUAGGUGCAUGAGGCUUGUAUUCCUUGGGUAUUUAUGCAGGAGUUAGGAAGUGAACAGAUCAGGAAUGCCAAACCUUCCUUGGGUUGUUACUGAGCCCAUUCAGGAGCUGCUCCUUUGAGCAGCGUGGGCUGGGAUUGAGGGGUUCAGGUGUGUCAGGCAGGUUUUUGAGGCACAAACACCAGGCUUCCAUAGGUUUGGGAGUGCUGGUCUGUGGAAAAUGGAAACACUGACGUAGCAGAAUUGCACUGUCUGGGGCAUUAAUUGUUAAAUGUCAGUGCAAUUAUGUUUUAAUGAAAUAAUGGUAUCUCUGGGAGUAAGAACUGCUGGGGAAUAGUUACUGAGGUAAGAAACAACAUAGACUUUGAAUUUUGCAGAUGAGUACCAAGAUUUUUGGCAGCCAAAUACUCUUAAGGCAGGGAACACCUAUAAACACUCUUAUUGAGGAUUAAGAGCCUGAAAUAAUCUCAGUUUGUACAUUUCUGUACAGAUAGUAAUGGAGACAGAGUUACUCUACUGUGCAUCUGUUCAUCUUGUUCGCCUUGUGAUUUUGUUGUGCAGUGAUCAAAUUUUACCAGAGCUUUGUAUUACUAAAAAUAUUUUACUGCAUUCCUACAUAUUUAAGAACCACUUAGAACAAGAUAACAGUCAAAAUUUUAACUUGGUAGCUGCAGGUUUAAUUUCUUAGGGAAAAAAGUCUCACCCGAUCUCAUCAAAUGGGGAAGUUACUUUUAAGGAGUGUAGCUGAAUACACAUAUACAUUAAUAUAGACAGUGUUACCUUUCACAGAGGAUCUUGGGCUCUGGAAAACCAACGGGUGCAGCUGGGAUUGGGAAAUCCUGGGGGGCUGGAGGUGACAAGGAGAUGUUUCUUUCCACACCAGGAAGAAUUCCUUGUCCUGCUCCUCCUGAGACGGUGCUGCAUCCGUGGGCUGUGCAGGGUAAUAAUUACCUUGGGAGAGAUACAAGCAGCAUUUUAUGUGUUGGUGUGUGCUGGUGUUACAAGAAAAUGCAGAGUUAGAGCAGGUAUUCAAAACUAGAAGGGGCAAAGGUCUGGGAGGAUGCUUGGACUUUAGGGGCUGGUUGGACAUGAGCUGCAGGUGGCACAGAGGUGUUCAGCAUCCUCUGGGAUGUCCCUGUGUGCUCCCCAAAGCUCACCUGGUCAUUCCCCUAACUCACUGCAAAAAGGUGCACUGAGCUCCUGCAACAGCCUGGUGGGAAGAAACUGUUCUCAUUUGAAACACAAACAACUCCUGGCUUCUUGAAAUGAAGCAGCAGAUACCUGAUAAUCUCAGAUCGAGGCUUUGAAUAAAUUCCUGUUUUCUGUUCCUGUGAGAUUUACAGCAAGGAUAAAAGUUUUCAGCUCCAGGAGAUGCCCACUGAGGAAAACUUAGUAGAGACAGCAAAUAUAUAUGUAGAGAAAAUAGAGUUCUUUAAGGAAUUAACAUGUUUGCCUGCAUUUGUAAGAGGUUCUACUCUGUUGUGCCCUGCUUUUUAUGCUUUUAUGCACCUUUUUCUAAAUGUUCCUGUAUCUUCCCUUUCUGGUACAUCAGCCUUUCUCAGCAGCAUUUUUCUGAGCUUGCCAAGUGUGGAUUCACCACUUUCCUGAAGCCCCCCUUGGCAUUUCCCUGCUUGUGCUUUCCAGGAUGCCUCCCCUGGGGACACCGUAACUCUGCCAGAAGCUGUUCCAUGGCUCCAUCCAGUUCUGCUGCUGUGGGAAGCUCCUGUGUGUCCCUGCCUGGGCUCUGCUGGCUCCUGGGUGGGGGCAGCCUCGCCCCAGGGAACAUUUCCAAGGCCGCAGUUUAAGUUUGGUUGUUGGAUUUCACUGCAAACAAGACCUUUCAACACUUCAAGCCUCACCCAUGAGCUUCUUGAUGAAAGAAAUGUUUACUUAGCUUUUCUUUUUUGUUGUUUUUGGCUCUGCAGCCUCUGGUCUGGGAAAAGGUGCAAUGUUGGGUCUUCUGGUGGCACUGAGAACAAAGCGUGACAAGGAGACACGUGAAUUAAAAUCUGCAUUACUUUUACUGGAAAAAAAUGCUGGAGUUCUGGUUUUUUAGAUGAAACGAUAAGAACUUGGAGUGUGAUUGAUGGCUGGGUACAGCAAGGGGAAUAGUUUUUUCCCUGGAUCCCAGUGCUGGUUUUAUUCAGGUACAAGAGCUUCAUCCAUUCUUUUUUAAGGCCUUGUUCCUGCUGGCCACCCCUCCUGCUGUGGACUGCAAAUGGCUCCUCGUUGUUGCAGGCACAUCUCCUUUCUGUGGAGCUGCACCACAAACAAACGCGGUGAGAAGGUCCAGGUGACAAAUAACCCCAUGGGAAUAAACCCGAGGUCAUUCCCUGUUUGUUUGUCUCUUUCAGAGCAGCCUCUCAACAGCAGACGGAGCAGUGGAGAACCUGGGAGGCUCCAGGCUGGAAGUUUAAUCCAUAAAAAUGUGUGUCAGGUGGCUGAUGAAUAUAAAUUGCUGAACACCAUGGGCCUGCGAGGCUGGAGGAUGCAGGAGGGAGACAGGGCUGUCUUCCAUGUCGGGGAACUGGACUGUGAAAUUAAGGACACGGGUUUGCAGCCUUGUCAUUCUGCCUUGUGUUUGCUGGAGUUCCACUGCUGCGCACACGUCUGCUCUAUGAAGAUGCACGAAGAGAUCUGAGGAACGACCUCCACCCAGCGCAAGGAAGGAGUUUCUGCCCAGCCUUGCUGACCUUGGCCCUACAGCUCUGAGAACCAAGCACAGUUCAUGCCAUGUUUCUGGUAAUCCACCCUUUCAUUCCCCUGUGGGCACAAAAAACUGUGUGUGUGUGACCUAGGGAUGCACUAGGUGGAUCCUCAGGAAUGAGGAUGUGUGUGUCAGACAUGGACAUGUGACACACAAUGGCCGUGUUUGUCCUUUCAGCUCCAUCACCGUCUACAGGAAGAGUCUGUGCUUCAGCAGACUGCAGUUUGUGUCCCAAACAUUAAAAAAGGCCAAUAAAGUCAUUUUUCUGCACCAGCUUGCAGAGGGAGACCCCAAAUGACUCACCCAGAGUCUGAAGGCUUCAGAGCAACGGCGCUGCUUUGCAGAUAGAAACAAAGCUGUCGGUACCAGGCUGCUGGCAGUGCACUGCUGGCAUGGCCUGCUCGGGAUUUAGGAGGGGUUGAACACAAAUGUGGAGGAGGCCCAGCGGGUGACCAACCUCCCCGUCCAGCGAGAGCCUUCCCGUCCUCUGCCCGUGUCCUGACACACCGCAGUUAGUCAGUGCCACCUCCAUCCGUCCUACGCGCGUUUCUGGGACUUCUGGGGAAGGGAGGGACGAGGCUGCGCACGGGUCCCGCUCCGGGUCCCGCUCGGGUCCCGGUUCCGCUCGGGUCCCGCUCCCGGUCCCGGUCCCGCUGUCCCGGCCGCUGCUCCGCCGGCAGCUCCGGCAGCGCUCGGGCUGGGGUCGGGGUGUUUCAGUCGCUCUCCGGGCUGUGUCCGUUCGCUUUCGCUGGGCAGGGCGGUGUCCGUGCGGGGCUGGGUGACGAUGCCGAGUGAGCCGGGGCUGUGCGGGGCGGCAGUGGGGCCGGCCGGGUCCCGCCGGCGCUACCCGACCUUCUGCAGCUCCUGGCGCAGCCACGAGGGCAGCGGCUGCCCCAGCCUGUGCAGCAGCUUGGACAGCUCCACGUUGUGCUCCCGGUAGUAGCUGGACAGGAACGCUCGGGACUGACAGGGCGGAAAAACAAACCCAGGUGCGGUUAAAGGGCAGCCACCCGCGGGCAUCAGUGCUCUGCUCCCGCAGGAGCUCCCACAGGGGGCAUUCAAUGCCCUCUUUCUCAAAGCUCGAGUUUCUGAUUUUUAGAAACAUCAACCCAGUGAAAA
Long non-coding RNA from Prinia subflava (tawny-flanked prinia), 4178 nucleotides. RefSeq lists it as uncharacterized. The transcript has 3 exons. Lineage: Eukaryota; Metazoa; Chordata; Aves; Passeriformes; Cisticolidae. The record is from RefSeq and is a predicted model, not a curated record.